RNAcentral lists this ribosomal RNA (554 nucleotides) under uncultured Streptococcus sp. Its description in RNAcentral is "bacterial SSU rRNA". It matches the Rfam family "Bacterial small subunit ribosomal RNA", at positions 114 to 656 of the family's 1533-position model. The record is from RNAcentral. Lineage: Bacteria; Bacillati; Bacillota; Bacilli; Lactobacillales; Streptococcaceae.
CGCGUAGGUAACCUGCCUUGUAGCGGGGGAUAACUAUUGGAAACGAUAGCUAAUACCGCAUAACAGCUUUUGACACAUGUUAGAAGCUUGAAAGAUGCAAUUGCAUCACUACGAGAUGGACCUGCGUUGUAUUAGCUAGUAGGUAGGGUAACGGCCUACCUAGGCGACGAUACAUAGCCGACCUGAGAGGGUGAUCGGCCACACUGGGACUGAGACACGGCCCAGACUCCUACGGGAGGCAGCAGUAGGGAAUCUUCGGCAAUGGGGGCAACCCUGACCGAGCAACGCCGCGUGAGUGAAGAAGGUUUUCGGAUCGUAAAGCUCUGUUGUAAGAGAAGAACGUGUGUGAGAGUGGAAAGUUCACACAGUGACGGUAACUUACCAGAAAGGGACGGCUAACUACGUGCCAGCAGCCGCGGUAAUACGUAGGUCCCGAGCGUUGUCCGGACUUAUUGGGCGUAAAGCGAGCGCAGGCGGUUUAAUAAGUCUGAAGUUAAAGGCAGUGGCUUAACCAUUGUUCGCUUUGGAAACUGUUAAACUUGAGUGCAGAAGGG